AUCCGACUGACGAGUCCGAUAUAGGCCGAAACGCGUGUGCUGGAU
Schistosoma haematobium is the source of this 45-nucleotide non-coding RNA. The record is from Rfam. NCBI's taxonomy places the organism in Eukaryota, Metazoa, Platyhelminthes, Trematoda, Strigeidida, Schistosomatidae.